Molecule: ribosomal RNA, 252 nt
Filed under: uncultured bacterium
Lineage: Bacteria
Description: partial 16S ribosomal RNA
Rfam family: Bacterial small subunit ribosomal RNA
Source: RNAcentral
UACGGGGGGGCAAGCGUUGUUCGGAAUUACUGGGCGUAAAGGGCUCGUAGGCGGCCAACUAAGUCCGACGUGAAAUCCCCAGGCUUAACCUGGGAACUGCGUCGGAUACUGGAUGGCUUGAAUUCGGGAGAGGGAUGCAGAAUUCCAGGUGUAGCGGUGAAAUGCGUAGAUAUCUGGAGGAAUACCGGUGGCGAAGGCGGCAUCCUGGACCGACAUUGACGCUGAGGAGCGAAAGCUAGGGGAGCAAACGGG